AGAUAUCUUACCAACCGCAGUGUGUACUGAGCAUUAGUUACUCAGGAGGGUGUUUAGUGAGCAGACAGCCUCUUGGAUUAGAGAUUGUUAUACAAAUGUCAUUCUUUAUCAUCAUCAUCUAACUUUUCAAGAGCAGAGUUAAGAAAGAAACUUUCCUAAUAUCACCAAUUAUCCAGUUGAAUCAUGAAACACAAAAGAAAAAUAAAACAUCUGGAACCUUCAUUGUUAAACUAAACAGAAAAGAGACCAAGAGAAGAGUUAGAUUUAUAAGAUGAUCUGCAGAGCAGAAACAAUGUACUGACCCCAACUCAAGACCAGGAAGAGAGCAAUAUUUCUUCAAAUCACUUCUUUUGCGAAGACAAAUUCUUUGGUGCAGGCAUGAAGUAAUGAUUAAAUAAGACUUGUGGAAGUCUCCAGAAGAUGCUGCUGAGACACCGAGGAAUGUCCUAGCCUCCAGUCAGGGAGGAGAGAAUUCCACAGACACAGAGCUUUGCCUUUGUGUCUCUUCAGCAACCCUGCAAGUUGCUGCAACACAUGAAGGCAGGGAGAUCUGAAUGUGACCUGAACUUGGACGAUAGGCACCCCAGAGCUGCUUGUCCAAGUCUUGGAUCCUCUUAGAUGUCUCUAUAUCAAGGCAUGAUGGAGAUAAAGAAUUUCUCUUUUAAUUCACACUCCCCUUCAACUUCCUCCUCGGUCAGCACCCCAUCAUGGUCCUCAGAAUCUUCUGAAAAGAAAAAGAGACUCCACCACCCUACCCCACCUGUGGGAAAAUGAACAAGUGAGGCCCAUACUUCACUACUUGACUUUGUGAUUGACCUAGAGGUCAAAUAUCUAUGCAUGUCGGACAAUCUGUAGUAAUAGGUUGGAAACUUUGAAGAGAAGAGAUAGAGAUGUCAACAUUUAGUAUUGAGUAAUCUUUUCUGUCCAGCUCUAAAUAAGCUCUACAAGCCUCAAAAGUUGGUCUCUCUUCAAUUUGUCAUUUUUUUAAAAU
Heterocephalus glaber (naked mole-rat) is the source of this 991-nucleotide long non-coding RNA. The record is from Ensembl. Lineage: Eukaryota; Metazoa; Chordata; Mammalia; Rodentia; Bathyergidae.